GACGAACGCUGGCGGCGUGCUUAACACAUGCAAGUCGAACGGAGAGGCCCUGCUUUUGUGGGGUGCUCGAGUGGCGAACGGGUGAGUAACACGUGAGUAACCUGCCCUUGACUUUGGGAUAACUUCAGGAAACUGGGGCUAAUACCGGAUAGGAGCUCCUGCUGCAUGGUGGGGGUUGGAAAGUUUCGGCGGUUGGGGAUGGACUCGCGGCUUAUCAGCUUGUUGGUGGGGUAGUGGCUUACCAAGGCUUUGACGGGUAGCCGGCCUGAGAGGGUGACCGGCCGCAUUGGGACUGAGAUACGGCCCAGACUCCUACGGGAGGCAGCAGUGGGGAAUAUUGCACAAUGGGCGGAAGCCUGAUGCAGCAACGCCGCGUGCGGGAUGACGGCCUUCGGGUUGUAAACCGCUUUCGCCUGUGACGAAGCGUGAGUGACGGUAAUGGGUAAAGAAGCACCGGCUAACUACGUG
This 468-nucleotide ribosomal RNA is filed under the name uncultured bacterium. Its description in RNAcentral is "partial 16S ribosomal RNA". It matches the Rfam family "Bacterial small subunit ribosomal RNA", at positions 28 to 507 of the family's 1533-position model. The record is from RNAcentral.